This 401-nucleotide ribosomal RNA is filed under the name Filaria latala. Its description in RNAcentral is "partial 12S ribosomal RNA". The record is from RNAcentral. Lineage: Eukaryota; Metazoa; Nematoda; Chromadorea; Rhabditida; Filariidae.
UUUUAAUGUUAUUUUUUAUUGUUAUUUUUGUUAAAUGUUUUGUUUUUUUUUUUUGUUUUGUAUAAUUGGGAAAAUUUGGGGGGUGAACCGGAUUAGUACCCGGGUAAACAAAAUUUAUUAAUACGGGGGUAAAGUUGAAUUUAAACCGAAAAAAUAUUGACCGGCUCUAAAUUUUUCUUUGGAACAUGUUUGUAAUCGGARAGUCCUCUUUUAUAGUAAUUUUUUUUGGUUCAWGUAUGAUUGUUGUUUUUUCCCUAUAUUGGGGAUUGUUUUUUUUUUUUUGCUUAUUAGACAGAUAGAUAUUUGGCUUAUGUAGUUGUUUAUUAUGUGUUACGAUACUUUAAGGUUCGGAUUAAUUGGUUAUUUAAUUUAUGAAGUUGGAAAAGAUAGUAAUAGUUUUU